UACGUAGGGGCGAGCGUUGUCCGGAAUGAUUGGGCGUAAAGGGCGCGUAGGCGGCCUGUCAAGUCAGUAGUGGAAGUCCAUCUUUCAAGGAUGGAAGUGCUACAGAAACUGAUGGGCUUGAGUGCAGGAGAGGUUAUCGGAAUUCCCGGUGUAGCGGUGAAAUGCGUAGAGAUCGGGAGGAACACCAGUGGCGAAGGCGGGUAACUGGACUGCAACUGACGCUGAGGCGCGAAAGUGUGGGGGGCAAACAGGAUUAGAUACCCGCGUA
Molecule: ribosomal RNA, 268 nt
Filed under: uncultured prokaryote
Description: partial 16S ribosomal RNA
Rfam family: Bacterial small subunit ribosomal RNA
Source: RNAcentral